GACGAACGCUGGCGGCGUGCUUAACACAUGCAAGUCGAACGGAAAGGCCCUGCUUUUGUGGGGUGCUCGAGUGGCGAACGGGUGAGUAACACGUGAGUAACCUGCACUUGACUUUGGGAUAACUUCAGGAAACUGGGGCUAAUACCGGAUAGGAGCUCCUGCUGCAUGGUGGGGGUUGGAAAGUUUCGGCGGUUGGGGAUGGACUCGCGGCUUAUCAGCUUGUUGGUGGGGUAGGGGCUUACCAAGGCUUUGACGGGUAGCCGGCCUGAGAGGGUGACCGGCCACAUUGGGACUGAGAUACGGCCCAGACUCCUACGGGAGGCAGCAGUGGGGAAUAUUGCACAAUGGGCGGAAGCCUGAUGCAGCAACGCCGCGUGCGGGAUGACGGCCUUCGGGUUGUAAACCGCUUUCGCCUGUGACGAAGCGUGAGUGACGGUAAUGGGUAAAGAAGCACCGGCUAACUACGUG
This 468-nucleotide ribosomal RNA is filed under the name uncultured bacterium. Its description in RNAcentral is "partial 16S ribosomal RNA". It matches the Rfam family "Bacterial small subunit ribosomal RNA", at positions 28 to 507 of the family's 1533-position model. The record is from RNAcentral.